This 1306-nucleotide long non-coding RNA is filed under the name Homo sapiens (human). Its description in RNAcentral is "HSALNT0042783". The record is from RNAcentral. Lineage: Eukaryota; Metazoa; Chordata; Mammalia; Primates; Hominidae.
AUCGCCACACCAACUUCCACAAUGGUUGAACUAGUUUACAGUCCCACCAACAGUGUAAAAGUGUUCCUAUUUCUCCACAUCCUCUCCAGCACCUGUUGUUUUCUGACUUUUUAAUGAUUGCCAUUCUAACUGGUGUGAGAUGGUAUCUCAUUGUGGUUUUGAUUUGCAUUUCUCUGAUGGCCAGUGAUGAUGAGCAUUUUUUCAUGUGAUUUUGGCUGCAUAAAUGUCUUCUUUUGACAAGUGUCUGUUCAUAUCCUUCGCCCACUUUUUGAUGGGGUUGUUUGUUUUUUUCUUGUAAAUUUGUUUGAGUUCAUUGUAGAUUCUGGAUAUUAGCCCUUUGUCAGAUGAGUAGGUUGCAAAAAUUUUCUCCCAUUCUGUAGGUUGCCUGUUCACUCUGAUGGUGGUUUCUUUUGCUGUGCAGAAGCUCUUUAGUUUAAUUAGAUCCCAUUUGUCAAUUUCGGCUUUUGUUGACAUUGCUUUUGGUGUUUUAGACAUGAAAUCCUUGCCCAUGCCUAUGUCCUGAAUGGUAUUGCCUAGGUUUUCUUCUAGGGUUUUUAUGGUUUUAGGUCUAACAUGUAAGUCUUUAAUCCAUCUUGAAUUAAUUUUUGUAUAAGGUGUAAGGAAGGGAUCCAGUUUCAGCUUUCUACAUAUGGCUAGCCAGUUUUCCCAGCACCAUUUAUUAAAUAGGGAAUCCUUUCCCCAUUGCUUGUUUUUGUCAGGUUUGUCAAAGAUCAGAUAGUUGUAGAUAUGCGGGAUUAUUUCUGAGGGCUCUGUUCUGUUCCAUUGGUCUAUAUCUAUCUCCGUUUUGGUACCAGUACCAUGCUGUUUUGGUUACUGUAGCCUUGUAGGAUAGUUUGAAGUCAGGUAGCGUGAUGCCUCUGGCUUUGUUCUUUUGGCUUAGGAUUGACUUGGCAAUGUGGGCUCUUUUUUGGUUCCAUAUGAACUUUAAAGUAGUUUUUUCCAAUUUUGUGAAGAAAGUCAUUGGUAGCUUGAUGGGGAUGGCAUUGAAUCUAUAAAUUACCUUGGGCAAUAUGGCCAUUUUCACAAUGUUGAUUCUUCCUACCCAUGAGCAUGGAAUGUUCUUCCAUUUCUUUGUGUCCUCUUUUAUUUCAUUGAGCAGUGGUUUGUAGUUCUCCUUGAAGAGGUCCUUCACAUCCCUUGUAAGUUGGAUUCCUAGGUAUUUUAUUCUCUUUGAAGCAAUUGUGAAUGGGAGUUCACUCAUGAUUUGGCUCUCUGUUUGUCUGUUAUUGGUGUAUAUAAGAAUGCUUGUGAUGUUUGCACAUUGAUUUUGUAUCUUGAGACUUUG